RNAcentral lists this ribosomal RNA (492 nucleotides) under uncultured bacterium. Its description in RNAcentral is "partial 16S ribosomal RNA". It matches the Rfam family "Bacterial small subunit ribosomal RNA", at positions 29 to 507 of the family's 1533-position model. The record is from RNAcentral.
AGUGAACGCUGGCGGUAGGCCUAACACAUGCAAGUCGAACGGCAGCACAGUAAGAGCUUGCUCUUACGGGUGGCGAGUGGCGGACGGGUGAGGAAUACAUCGGAAUCUACUUUUUCGUGGGGGAUAACGUAGGGAAACUUACGCUAAUACCGCAUACGACCUACGGGUGAAAGCAGGGGAUCUUCGGACCUUGCGCGAUUGAAUGAGCCGAUGUCGGAUUAGCUAGUUGGCGGGGUAAAGGCCCACCAAGGCGACGAUCCGUAGCUGGUCUGAGAGGAUGAUCAGCCACACUGGAACUGAGACACGGUCCAGACUCCUACGGGAGGCAGCAGUGGGGAAUAUUGGACAAUGGGCGCAAGCCUGAUCCAGCCAUACCGCGUGGGUGAAGAGGGCCUUCGGGUUGUAAAGCCCUUUCGUUGGGAAAGAAAAGCAGCAGGUUAAUACCCCGCUGUUCUGACGGUACCCAAAGAAUAAGCACCGGCUAACUUCGUG